AUGCCGUUUUGGAAACGGAAGUGGAUGUGACGUCAUCCACAAGCGGCCUCUGAAGGGAGAGCGGGGAAUGUUGUGCUGUGUCUGUGGAGCUCUGGAACAAACUUCAGAGCCUCUUCCCAACUACCAGUGUUUUUCAGACAUAACAAAAUACGCAUCAUCUGAUCUAAGAAGCCGGAAAUCCCGCCCCCUCUUCCCGGCGCUUCCGGAUGACGUCCCGACACAAGGGGAAAGCCUUCUGGUCUGAAAAACAGCGCGGUCGGGAAGAAAGCUGGUAGCUGGCCUUGAGGCCAUGCUCACGGCCUCUUAACAGGGUGUGCUUGCAGCUGGUUUUAGUCUAUUACACAACUAUUUAAAAAAUUU
This is a long non-coding RNA of Leopardus geoffroyi (Geoffroy's cat), 360 nucleotides long. RefSeq lists it as uncharacterized. NCBI's taxonomy places the organism in Eukaryota, Metazoa, Chordata, Mammalia, Carnivora, Felidae. The transcript is spliced from 3 exons. The record is from RefSeq and is a predicted model, not a curated record.